RNAcentral lists this ribosomal RNA (301 nucleotides) under uncultured bacterium. Its description in RNAcentral is "partial 16S ribosomal RNA". It matches the Rfam family "Bacterial small subunit ribosomal RNA", at positions 509 to 808 of the family's 1533-position model. The record is from RNAcentral.
CAGCCGCCGCGGUAAUGCGAAGGGUGCAAGCGUUAAUCGGAAUUACUGGGCGUAAAGCGUGCGUAGGCGGUGAGUUAAGUCUGCUGUGAAAUCUCCGGGCUCAACCUGGGAAUGGCAGUGGAUACUGGCUCGCUAGAGUGUGUCAGAGGAUGGUGGAAUUCCCGGUGUAGCGGUGAAAUGCGUAGAGAUCGGGAGGAACAUCAGUGGCGAAGGCGACUAUCUGGGCCAACACUGACACUGAGGCACGAAAGCGUGGGGAGCAAACAGGAUUAGAACCCCUGUAGUCCCUGUCUCUUAUACA